Molecule: ribosomal RNA, 1337 nt
Filed under: metagenome
Description: bacterial LSU rRNA
Rfam family: Bacterial large subunit ribosomal RNA
Source: RNAcentral
UGAAUACGAGACGCUACGGCGUCGAAGCAGUCUAUGUCAUACUUCCAAGAAAAGCUUGCACUGUCAAAAACAAAUAAUGCCUGUACCAUAACCGACACAGGUGGGUAGGUAGAGUAUACUAAGGGGCGCGAGACAACUCUCUCUAAGGAACUCGGCAAAAUGACUCCGUAACUUCGGGAGAAGGAGUGCCUUAUUUAUAAGGUUGCAAUAACAAGAUCCAAGCAACUGUUUAUCAAAAACACAGGUCUCCGCUAAGUCGUAAGACGAUGUAUGGGGGCUGACGCCUGCCCAGUGCCGGAAGGUUAAAGAAGUUGGUUAGCAUUAGCGAAGCUGAUAACUGAAGCCCUGGUGAACGGCGGCCGUAACAAUAACGGUCCUAAGGUAGCGAAAUUCCUUGUCGGGUAAGUUCCGACCCGCACGAAAGGCGUAAUGAUUUGGAUACUGUCUCAGAGAGGGGCUCGGUGAAAUAGACUUGUCUGUGAAGAUGCGGACUACCUGCACCAGGACAGAAAGACCCUAUGAAGCUUUACUGUAACUUGAAAUUGAAAUUGGACUUUAUUUGCGCAGUAUAGGUGGGAGGCAUUGAUAAUAUUCUUGCGGGAAUGUUGGAGCCAUCAGUGAGAUACCACUCUUGUAAUGUUAGAUUUCUAACUCUGGAUCAUUAUCUGGUCAAAGGACAGUUUCAGGCGGGCAGUUUGACUGGGGCGGUCGCCUCCUAAAUGGUAACGGAGGCGCACAAAGGUUUCCUCUGAACGGGUAGAAAUCGUAUCUAGAGUGUAAAGGCAUAAGGAAGCUUGACUGUGAGACCUACAAGUCGAGCAAGGACGAAAGUCGGUCUUAGUGAUCUGACGGUGCUGAGUGGAAAGGCCGUCACUCAACGGAUAAAAGUUACUCUAAGGAUAACAGGCUGAUCUCCCCCAAGAGUUCACAUCGACGGGGAGGUUUGGCACCUCGAUGUCGGCUCAUCGCAUCCUGGGGCGGUAGUACGUCCCAAGGGUUGGGCUGUUCGCCCAUGAAAGCGGUACGCGAGCUGGGUUCAGAACGUCGUGAGACAGUUCGGUCCAUAUCCGGUGUAGGCGUUAGAAUAUUGAGAGGAGCCUUCUUUAGUACGAGAGGACCGAGAAGGACAUACCUCUGGUGUACCAGUUAUCGUGCCAACGGUAAACGCUGGGUAGCUAUGUAUGGAGAGGAUAACCGCUGAAAGCAUCUAAGUGGGAAGCCCACCUCAAGAUAAGUAUUCUGGUGUAAGGUCACGGGAAGACGACCCGUAAAUAGGCACGAGGUGGAAGCGCAGAGAUGUAUGAAGCCGAAGUGUACUAAUAGACCGUCGGCUUGAC